CAUCAGAUGACUGAAAGUAAGUGUAGGUCUUUUAAACCUAUAAUAGUAGUUAACGACUACUUCUGAUGA
RNAcentral lists this transfer RNA (69 nucleotides) under Penaeus notialis. Its description in RNAcentral is "transfer RNA-Lys". It matches the Rfam family "tRNA". From Rfam's summary of the family: Transfer RNA (tRNA) molecules are approximately 80 nucleotides in length. Their secondary structure includes four short double-helical elements and three loops (D, anti-codon, and T loops). Further hydrogen bonds mediate the characteristic L-shaped molecular structure. tRNAs have two regions of fundamental functional importance: the anti-codon, which is responsible for specific mRNA codon recognition, and the 3' end, to which the tRNAs corresponding amino acid is attached (by aminoacyl-tRNA synthetases). tRNAs cope with the degeneracy of the genetic code in two manners: having more than one tRNA (with a specific anti-codon) for a particular amino acid; and 'wobble' base-pairing, i.e. permitting non-standard base-pairing at the 3rd anti-codon position. Lineage: Eukaryota; Metazoa; Arthropoda; Malacostraca; Decapoda; Penaeidae. The record is from RNAcentral.